This 251-nucleotide long non-coding RNA is filed under the name Musa acuminata (dwarf banana). Its description in RNAcentral is "long non-coding RNA (MACU_LNC003183)". The record is from RNAcentral. Lineage: Eukaryota; Viridiplantae; Streptophyta; Magnoliopsida; Zingiberales; Musaceae.
UGGCGUUCCGGGAUAUGACGACACCGGAAGUGCCGUAGUUGGUGCCGGUGGCCCAGAUCGCAGGGCCAUAGAUCACCACAUUGCGAUCCCUUUGCAGGACCAAUAUAUAGUUGCCUUGGUCCCUCGAGGUGUUGGAGGCCCACAGAGCGUUGCCGUUGCUGUAGAUCACAAGGUUGCCGUCCGCCUGCAUCUUGAGGAUGCAGUUGUAGCCACGGUUGUCCGUGCCGGAGGACCACACGGCAUUACCGGAG